GUGCCAGCAGCCGCGGUAAUACGGAGGGUGCAAGCGUUGUCCGGAUUUAUUGGGUUUAAAGGGUGCGUAGGCGGCCAAUUAAGUCAGUGGUGAAAUCCUUCCGCUUAACGGGAGAACUGCCAUUGAAACUGUUUGGCUUGAGUACGGUUGAAGUAGGCGGAAUUUAUGGUGUAGCGGUGAAAUGCAUAGAUACCAUAAAGAACACCGAUAGCGUAGGCAGCUUACUAAGCCGUAACUGACGCUGAGGCACGAAAGCAUGGGGAGCGAACAGGAUUAGAUACCCUGGUAGUCCAUGCCGUAAACGAUGAUAACUCGCUGUUAGCGAUAUACUGUUAGCGGCCAAGCGAAAGCGUUAAGUUAUCCACUGGGGAGUACGUCCGCAAGGAUGAAACUCAAAGGAAUUGACGG
Molecule: ribosomal RNA, 408 nt
Filed under: Marivirga lumbricoides
Lineage: Bacteria; Pseudomonadati; Bacteroidota; Cytophagia; Cytophagales; Marivirgaceae
Description: bacterial SSU rRNA
Rfam family: Bacterial small subunit ribosomal RNA
Source: RNAcentral